AGCAGCCGCGGUAAUUCCAGCUCCAAUAGCGUAUAUUAAAGUUGUUGCAGUUAAAAAGCUCGUAGUUGAAUUUCGGGAUUGACGUAAUGGUCGUGCCUUAAGGGGUAUGAACUGUUACUGUUGAUUUCUCACCUUCUGGAGAAACUUGAUGUCCUUAAUUGGGUGUCUUGCGGAUCCAGGACCUUUACCUUGAAAAAAUUAGAGUGUUUAAAGCAGGCAUUUUUGCUCGAAUACAUUAGCAUGGAAUAAUAGAAUAGGACGGCAUGGUUCUAUUUUGUUGGUUUCUAGGAUCACCGUAAUGAUUAAUAGGGAUAGUUGGGGGCAUUAGUAUUCAAUUGUCAGAGGUGAAAUUCUUGGAUUUAUUGAAGACUAACUACUGCGAAAGCAUUUGCCAAGGAUGUUUUCAUUAAUCAAGAACGAAAGUUAGGGGAUCGAAGACGAUCAGAUACCGUCGUAGUCUUAACCAUAAACUAUGCCGACUAGGGAUCGGAUGAUGUUAAUUUUUAAUGACUCAUUCGGC
RNAcentral lists this ribosomal RNA (520 nucleotides) under uncultured Entrophospora. RNAcentral's name for it is "SSU rRNA". It matches the Rfam family "Eukaryotic small subunit ribosomal RNA", at positions 569 to 1084 of the family's 1831-position model. The record is from RNAcentral. Lineage: Eukaryota; Fungi; Glomeromycota; Glomeromycetes; Entrophosporales; Entrophosporaceae.